UCGGUGACUUUGAAUGAGGAUAAAGAUGAGAUAAAAUGGUCUUUGACCAAAAAUGGAGUAUAUACUGUAAAAUCCUUCUACAGGCAUCUGAUUGAAAAUGGUGUUAAAUAUCCACACAUAUAUAUGUGGAGGAUUAAAAUGCCACCCACAAUCAAGGUGUUCGUGUGGUUGGCUCUUAGAAAAAGUAUUCUUACAAAAGAUAAUUUGCUUCGUAGGGGGUGGAAAGGAGAUGAUAAAUGUCAUUUUUGUGGACGUAAAGAAAAUAUAAAUCAUCUUUUUAUGUCAUGUUCAGUUGCUAGAUUAUUGUGGAACAUCUUAAAAUGUGCUUUCAAUCUAAGCGACAUUCCAGAAACUCUGGAUGCAAUUAUGAAAACUUGGGUAAAUACAUUUGGAAAAGAUGAAAAAAGUUUGGUCAUGAUAGGUAUUUCAGCGAUUUGCUGGACUAUCUGGAAGUUAAGAAACAAUAUUAUUUUUGACAACAAUAGAGUGAAUGAUCCCUGUGUACCUGUUAACCUGUUUCUCAAAAAUUUAAAUGAUUGGAAUAUUUUGCAGACAAAUCCCGCAAGAAGUAAGAUGAUGGAGGCUGGAGUGAAGCAAGUAAGUGAGGUGGCGGAAGAGGUGUUCAAAGCAGCUCAUGGGUGGCGCCUGAAGACUGGGAGAAUCCAGGGGUGA
Molecule: ribosomal RNA, 672 nt
Filed under: Triticum aestivum (bread wheat)
Lineage: Eukaryota; Viridiplantae; Streptophyta; Magnoliopsida; Poales; Poaceae
Description: partial small subunit ribosomal RNA
Source: RNAcentral